RNAcentral lists this transfer RNA (73 nucleotides) under Methanobacteriota archaeon. RNAcentral's name for it is "Euryarchaeota archaeon tRNA-Val". It matches the Rfam family "tRNA". Rfam says of the family: Transfer RNA (tRNA) molecules are approximately 80 nucleotides in length. Their secondary structure includes four short double-helical elements and three loops (D, anti-codon, and T loops). The record is from RNAcentral. Lineage: Archaea; Methanobacteriati; Methanobacteriota. RNAcentral also lists the same sequence under 1 other name.
GGGCCCGUGGUCUAGCGGUUAUGACGACUCGCUUACACCGAGUCGAUCGUGGGUUCGAUUCCCACCGGGCCCA